This is a non-coding RNA of Cinara cedri, 215 nucleotides long. NCBI's taxonomy places the organism in Eukaryota, Metazoa, Arthropoda, Insecta, Hemiptera, Aphididae. The record is from the annotation of a GenBank genome assembly.
CACACGCGCACGCAGAUAGAUGACACCCCACAGUGGUUGACCGCUAGCGUCAUCACGAGCUUCAAUUUUCACACAUUUUCGUUUCUUUAGCGUAUACCUUAUCCGCACGACUCGGGACAUUUACAUAAACGCGGCGGUCGUUAUUAUAUAGUGUAUAAUACAAUAUAUCCGAGUAUCCCGGGGAAAAAAAAAAAAAAAAAAAAAAAAAAAAAAAA